Molecule: non-coding RNA, 165 nt
Organism: Microcebus murinus (gray mouse lemur)
Lineage: Eukaryota; Metazoa; Chordata; Mammalia; Primates; Cheirogaleidae
Source: RefSeq, a predicted model, not a curated record
GCCGAAAAGACCCUGUAAGUUGGGCUCUGCACCAGGGGAAAAAAUCUGGUGGCAUCUAGGCACCUUACAGACCGACCACUCUGCUAUGCCCAGUGGAACUCCUACUUUCAGACAGGAUGCUGCCUGAUUCAUGAAUUGCUAAUAAAAGCCAAGUAGCUCUUUAAA